This 69-nucleotide transfer RNA is filed under the name Sphaerodactylus townsendi. RNAcentral's name for it is "tRNA-Thr". The record is from RNAcentral. Lineage: Eukaryota; Metazoa; Chordata; Lepidosauria; Squamata; Sphaerodactylidae.
GCCAUGGCUCAUUGGUAGAGCAUCUGCUUGGUAUACAGAAGGUUGCCGGUUCAAUCCCCAGUAUCUCCA